RNAcentral lists this long non-coding RNA (998 nucleotides) under Ursus maritimus (polar bear). RNAcentral's name for it is "lncRNA (ENSUMAG00000020535.1)". The record is from RNAcentral. Lineage: Eukaryota; Metazoa; Chordata; Mammalia; Carnivora; Ursidae.
AUGGGGGUUUUUUUUGGGGGGGGGGGGUCAGACAACGGAGGCUGCAGCCAUAUGUGUUUACCAAACCCUGAAGGACUGACUUGUAAGUGUCCCAGUGGGCACUCCUUGGCUAAUCUAAGCAAAUGUGUGGAAGCCGCCCCGUGCUCUGAGCCGUCCCAGGCCUGUAAGGAUGGUCAGAAGUGCGUCUCCGUGGAGCAAGUUUGUGAUGGUCAUGCUGACUGUCUGGAUGGAUCUGAUGAGCUGAGCUGUACCUAUCCAGAUAAAACCCAUUCAACACCAACAUCUAAAAAUGCAGAGGCUGGAAAAAGGUUGACUCCAAAAGCUGCCCGGCCUCCUCUCCAAGCUACCAAGUCCACCAAGGCUAGAUACCCGGGUCCAGAAGGGAUGAGUUAUCCUCUCAGAAAAACAUUAAUUCCUCCAAUUCCUGCUAGAGAAAGCAAGACUUCAGAAGCCAAGGAAAAAGGCGAGCUCGUUCAGCGCAAGGACUCACAGGGGGCAGCACAUCUGCCCUGCAGCACGGAUUUCUGCAAUGGGAGAGGGAUCUGUACAGUGGUGGGCGAGCUGAGGAAGUGCCGCUGUCUGAUGGAAUAUGGCGGACAGUUCUGUGAGGAGCCAGCGCGUGGACCUGCCCCUGGCUACAUCGUCCUCAGCUUCACAGUUGUCCUGCCAGUGGUGCUAGUCGCUCUGGGAGCGUUUGUCUAUUUCAGAAGAGAACACAAAUUUAAAAGAAAUCGUGCAGCAACAUCAAGAAAUUCGACCCGCCAUAAAGAAAACGGCCAAGAAGAGGAGAACCUAAUGAAUAGUGAGACCUUUGUCAACGAAGCCUGUGAUGAGCAGGAACUGCUAACUUUACAAAGUGACUAACUUGAUAAAAAAGGAGCUGAAACAUCUCAAUGAAAAUUGUUUAUACAUUGCAUUGUGUACUGUUUUAACGUCUGUAACUUAUUGUAACUAUAUGCUAAAAUGGUGAUUUAUUAAAAUAACUGCUUUUUAAAUUG